Molecule: long non-coding RNA, 736 nt
Filed under: Nicotiana benthamiana
Lineage: Eukaryota; Viridiplantae; Streptophyta; Magnoliopsida; Solanales; Solanaceae
Description: long non-coding RNA (NBEN_LNC014500)
Source: RNAcentral
UACAUUUGAAGACAUAACUUAAGCCCCCUUAUAUAGGCAAGCCUCUAAGCUACUCUUCAACAUUUUUCCAAUGAGGGACAAUGACCAUUCUCAUUUUUAAGCAAAAUCCCAACAAACUCCACCUUGAUUAAAAAUGACCAUAGCAGCAACUAUCCGUCAUACUCCAUAUUGCUGGACACCUGUCAUACUCCACCAUAAAGAGUAUCGCCACUUAGAAUAAACCAUUCUAAGAAUUUCCACUUUGGCUCAUGUCGAAAAACACCUUGCUGAUUACUAUGGUGCAACCUCCACUAUUGACUCUCCUUGGAAGUCCAUCAGCUAUCGACAUAACUGUUUCAUCACACACCUUGCAUUCUUGCCAAACCAAUGCCCGUGUGUAAUUCCGCUAUUAAUCUCACAUCCUUCACCAUGGCAAAUAGCGGCAUUCCAUAAGGAUGUACAUGUCUUUGGGUCAUAUAAGGUCAUAUGGGUCCCUAUCAAAGACCAUAUUAACAACAUCAUACCAGUAUUUGGACAUAAGGAUGUACGUGUCUUUGGGUCAUAUAAGGUCAUAUGGGCCCCUAUCAAAUACCAUAUUAACAGCAUCACUUGACUUGGAGCCUGUAGCCGAACCCGCUCCACCUGCUGGAAUAUCCUUCUUCAUAUGUCCAGGCUCUCCACACUUCCAGCAAACAACAUUCCGCUUCAUGGGGUUCCUCUUUUCCUUUCGUUUCCCGUAGCACAUAUACACACCUUC